AGGACCCAAUGAUCAAGAGGCAGCAGUUACAACAACCUAUACUAAGGAAUUAAGAGAUUGGCAUCCCACCCAGAUUACUGGCAGCAUCAGUGUAAUUGGAAUUGAUAUCCCUAUUCAUCUUCUAAUCCGUGUUACUGGUGGAUGCAUUGGAUUAUUUAUUAUCUCAGUCCUGGCUUUAUGCAUCAGAUUCUGUAACAAACGUGUAAAAGAUUUAAGAGAAGCCGAGGAAGAGCUGCGUUGCCUCCAAAUCGUUGUAGAAGGAGUCAAAAUACAGAAGCCAGAUGUAGACCCUGAGACAAAGGAAGAUACUCCUAUUAAAGAAAUAGGAACUGAAGGGAUAUAAAUACCUACAGAGUCUACUGUAGUGUCUACUAUAAAGACUGAUCCCCCUCAUGAGAGCUGUGCUGAUACAGAGAAAAGAAACAGAAGAAAGUGUCAAGGAAAUACAAAGAACAGAACAGGUUGAGAUAUUGAUUGAGGAAACAGAUGAACCAGAAGUUCAUAAAUAGAAAGAAGUAGUUGAUAAUAUGAACAAUGCAGCUCAGAAAGCAAAUGAGACCAAACAGAACCAAGGGAAGACGAAGAAGAAGAGAGGAAAGAGGAAUCUCAAAAAGUAAAGAGCAGAAAUGACAGUUAUGUGAGAGAAUAAAAGCCAAGAUGUGAAGGAGCCGCCAUUCAAAAUACACAAUGGAAUAACAGUAGCUCUUUGCAACAGGCCUUUGCGGCUCAGACUAUGGCUAUCCCUAUGGAUUAGGGCACCCGGAUGGACUGUGAUGGGCAUAACACCAUUAUAUGCCUGUCACCACUUCCCGUAGACAAUAAUAAAUAAAUAAAUAAAGCAUUACAUAAAUAAAGAUCUCAUUUUUCAUCCUUUUUAUUGGGUUGCAUGGCUUCUUCUCCCACACACGUGGUAAUAAAAUGCCCUUUUAGCAUCACAGGGACCACUUGGAAAAUGCAACAUGUGACCCUUGAGAUUAUG
This is a long non-coding RNA of Xenopus laevis (African clawed frog), 979 nucleotides long. RefSeq lists it as uncharacterized. Lineage: Eukaryota; Metazoa; Chordata; Amphibia; Anura; Pipidae. The transcript has 6 exons. The record is from RefSeq and is a predicted model, not a curated record.